AGAAUCAACGCUGGCGGCGUGCCUAACACAUGCAAGUCGCACGAGAAAGGGACUUCGGUCCUAAGUACAGUGGCGCACGGGUGAGUAACACGUGAAUUAUCUACCUCCGAGUGGGGAAUAACUGAGAGAAAUCUUAGCUAAUACCGCAUAACACUUACGAGUCAAAGCAGCAAUGCGCUUGGAGAGGAGUUCGCGGCAGAUUAGUUAGUUGGCGGGGUAAUGGCCCACCAAGACGAUGAUCUGUAUCCGGCCUGAGAGGGCGCACGGACACACUGGAACUGAAACACGGUCCAGACUCCUACGGAGGCAGCAGUGGGGAAUUUUGCGCAAUGGGGGAAACCCUGACGCAGCAACGCCGCGUGGAGGAUGAAAUAUCUUGGUAUGUAAACUCCUUUCGAUGGGAAGAUAAUGACGGUACCCAUAGAAGAAGCCCCGGCUAACUUCGUGCCAGCAGCCGC
This 458-nucleotide ribosomal RNA is filed under the name uncultured bacterium. RNAcentral describes it as "SSU rRNA". It matches the Rfam family "Bacterial small subunit ribosomal RNA", at positions 26 to 518 of the family's 1533-position model. The record is from RNAcentral.